This is a non-coding RNA of Heterocephalus glaber (naked mole-rat), 519 nucleotides long. The record is from RefSeq and is a predicted model, not a curated record. NCBI's taxonomy places the organism in Eukaryota, Metazoa, Chordata, Mammalia, Rodentia, Bathyergidae.
GUGCGGGUUCGCUGCAUCCGGCGCUCCCCCAAGGCAGCCGUGGCAGUCCGCGCACGCGCGCAAUUGCUUUCUCGCCCGAGAGCUAUCCUUCCCACCUUCUUGCACGGUCCGUGAGUACUGCGCGGGAUAUGAACUGCUGCUGAGGAAGCUUGUGACCUUUGACGAGAUGGUUUUCUGCUGCAGAGGGCAAUUCCUAAAGAUGGGCCCAGCUGGGAGCUGUCAGCAGCCAACACUCAGGGACAUUCAAGAUUACACAUGAGAGCAGUGGCCAAUCCGGUGAUCACAGAGAGCAAUUACUCGUGCAUCCCUGCAGCUCUUUGUGCUUGUAGCUGGUGUACCUCAAUGCCACCCCUGUGAGAAGCUGGCCAACCUUCCUGAGAAUGUGUGAAGAAUCUCCUUGCUCCUCAGUACUCCAGGUGGAAGAGAACGAUUCAAAACUACAAAACUUGGUGGUGGAUAAAUCUGGAGGCCAUGCUGGGCCAAGAAGAAGAAGGCCUAGAAGGGUCAUGGUUGUUAUGU